Molecule: long non-coding RNA, 1068 nt
Filed under: Struthio camelus australis
Lineage: Eukaryota; Metazoa; Chordata; Aves; Struthioniformes; Struthionidae
Description: lncRNA (ENSSCUG00000004080.1)
Source: RNAcentral
ACGCAUCUGAAGCUUUCUAGAGCACCCCGAGGGCAAGUGGUCUCCUUAGAAAUAGUUUCCAGACUAUUUCUAAAUUGUCUGCAGUCUCAGUGAUUAUUUCCUUAACUCUCUCCUUGACUAGGUAAGAAGUAAAUGAGAAGGACUCGGCACAGGGAAAGGUCUCCUGGGAUGUGAUGGCUUCUGGGCUGAAGACAUCCAUACACGAGAGGGGACAUAAAAGGAGGGGAAAGUCUGGGUGAAGGCACUACAGUGGGACUUUGAAAACGUAGCAUGUGGCAAGUUGUAUUUUCUUGGAAAGCUUCAUCUGGCUACAAACUGAUACGUGGUUGGGAGAGCUCGCAAGAGUCUGCACAAGCUGGAACGGAGCCUGGGUAGGAACUGGUGGUGAAGAAGAAGCUUUUGAGCUGUGCUGCCGUACCGAUGGCCUGUCGAGGUGCUGUACUGUCCCAGCAGCUGCUGUCUUCUGCCCCAAGGCGCACCAGAAUGUGGCGAGGUGAAGCAGUUCCUGGCUCCCACCUGGCUUCCUUGUGAUGCUUUAGACACAGGCUGCUCUAAAACAUUGAAUCUCAUCCCUCCUGUUUCUGAGGGGGGAGUACAGGGAGUGAUUUUGUCUGUUGUGAAUACUGUAGAGUUUGCACCUAAGCAGGACAGUGGCAAAAUCCAUCUGUAAUCUCUGGGCAAGUGCAGAGAGGCAAAGGAGGGUUUAAGUUAAAGGCAGAUCCCCAGUUACCAUCACUGGACCUGACCCUGACCUGCAGUUGGCUUCUUGGCUUGACCUCGGACUUACCUCAUUACCAUGAACUUGCCUGAUGGUCUGGACUCUUAAUUGAGUCUGGCUGCUAUCCCUGGACCUGCCCUGCUUGGUACUGUGGGGCUGGACCCUGGCCGGCGAGGCCCUUGCCCUGCCAGCUGCGUUAUCGCGCUCGGCUCCCCGUCCCUCCGGGAGCAGCCGGUCCUUGCCGCUCCCUGACAUGGAGCGAGAACUGAGGCUUCCAGUAUGUGGGUGCUGGGAGGGCUGCUGCUUCCUGGCUCCUGCGAGGUCACUAAGGAGGGGCGAUUCUGCUGAAA